RNAcentral lists this ribosomal RNA (378 nucleotides) under uncultured eukaryote. RNAcentral's name for it is "partial 18S ribosomal RNA". It matches the Rfam family "Eukaryotic small subunit ribosomal RNA", at positions 592 to 975 of the family's 1831-position model. The record is from RNAcentral.
CAAUAGCGUAUAUUUAAGUUGUUGCAGUUAAAAAGCUCGUAGUUGGAUUUCGGAUGGGAUCUGCCGGUCCGCCUUUGAGGUGUGUACUGGUAGGUCCUAUCUUGUUGUCGGGGACCAGCUCCUGGGCUUCACUGUCCGGGACUGGGAGCCGGCGAAGUUACUUUGAGUAAAUUAGAGUGUUCAAAGCAAGCCUACGCUCUGAAUAUAUUAGCAUGGAAUAACACGAUAGGACUCUGGCUUAUCUUGUUGGUCUGUGAGACCAGAGUAAUGAUUAAGAGGGACAGUCGGGGGCAUUCGUAUUCCGUUGUCAGAGGUGAAAUUCUUGGAUUUACGGAAGACGAACAUCUGCGAAAGCAUUUGCCAAGGAUGUUUUCAUUG